This 484-nucleotide ribosomal RNA is filed under the name uncultured bacterium. RNAcentral describes it as "partial 16S ribosomal RNA". It matches the Rfam family "Bacterial small subunit ribosomal RNA", at positions 28 to 507 of the family's 1533-position model. The record is from RNAcentral.
AUUGAACGCUGGCGGCAUGCUUUACACAUGCAAGUCGAACGGCAGCGCGGGCUUCGGCCUGGCGGCGAGUGGCGAACGGGUGAGUAAUGCAUCGGAACGUGCCCAGUAGUGGGGGAUAGCACGGCGAAAGCCGGAUUAAUACCGCAUACGACCUGAGGGUGAAAGCGGGGGACCGAAAGGCCUCGCGCUAUUGGAGCGGCCGAUGUCGGAUUAGCUAGUUGGUGGGGUAAAGGCUUACCAAGGCGACGAUCCGUAGCUGGUCUGAGAGGACGACCGGCCACACUGGGACUGAGACACGGCCCAGGCUCCUACGGGAGGCAGCAGUGGGGAAUGUUGGGCAAUGGGGGCAACCCUGAUCCAGCCGUGCCGCGUGCGGGAAGAAGGCCUUCGGGUUGUAAACCGCUUUUGUUCGGGAAGAAAUCCUCUGGGCUAAUACCCCGGGGGGAUGACGGUACCGGAAGAAUAAGCACCGGCUAACUACGUG